This 399-nucleotide ribosomal RNA is filed under the name uncultured bacterium. RNAcentral describes it as "bacterial SSU rRNA". It matches the Rfam family "Bacterial small subunit ribosomal RNA", at positions 359 to 775 of the family's 1533-position model. The record is from RNAcentral.
GAAUAUUGGACAAUGGGCGAAAGCCUGAUCCAGCCAUGCCGCGUGAGUGAUGAAGGCCCUAGGGUUGUAAAGCUCUUUCACCGAUGAAGAUAAUGACGGUAGUCGGAGAAGAAGCCCCGGCUAACUUCGUGCCAGCAGCCGCGGUAAUACGAAGGGGGCUAGCGUUGUUCGGAAUUACUGGGCGUAAAGCGCACGUAGGCGGAUUGUUAAGUGAGGGGUGAAAUCCCAGGGCUCAACCCUGGAACUGCCUUUCAUACUGGCAAUCUCGAGUCCGGAAGAGGUGAGUGGAAUUCCGAGUGUAGAGGUGAAAUUCGUAGAUAUUCGGAGGAACACCAGUGGCGAAGGCGGCUCACUGGUCCGGUACUGACGCUGAGGUGCGAAAGCGUGGGGAGCAAACAG